UGCAUAGCUCUGCCCUGCACCAAAUAAACUCUGGGGGACCUGACCUUGUAAUAUACCUUUUCCCCAGCUUUUUAUGCCAUGGACUGACCUGACCUGAUGACAAGACAAACCUGCGUUCCUCUGGGUUACCAAGAGGCUCAAACCCCUUCCAGGAUGCAAUGCACCAAAAUACUGGCUGGCACCAUCAGCAGGAUGUUACCAUGCAACUGUUUGGUGCCCAGUCUGACAGAGGUACCCCUGCUGGCCUCCCAUUGAUGGGGAUACCAAUCCUCUUGUAGCCUGGGAAAUCUGUGGGCAGCUUCUGAAGACAGUCUCCAUCUUAAGAACCACCCAGAAGUUUGGAAGAUCUUGUGUUUGAACUGUGAUCCCUGAGGUGAGAUCAAGCUUCAUGCUAAGAGUUGGCCUCCAUUUGAUGUGAAUACUGAGAAGCUGCUGCAGGCUACCACUGAUUGGAAUUUACUUGUAUUAGUCUAAUUGCGUGCUCUGCCAUCAUCUGUUUGCAAUCACAAAGAGGAAGCUUCUGAAGCUUGGGAAUGAGGGAAAAUGAAGUGUCUUAACAACUACAAAACAUUGAGAAUGCUUUUGGAGGCUUUCCCAUCAGUUUCCAUCGGAUCCUCUGCUCUGAAGAGAAUAUCAUUGAGGAGCAGUUUGAGAUAAGCACAGGGACCAGAAGAGUAUAAAGAGCUCCUGAUGGCUGUCAGAACAGUAACAGUAGCACUUGGCCUAGAAGACAAGCUGCCUUCCAGCCACAAUCCCUCACCAUGGCUGAAGCAGCGGUGACCUCCACAGAUGGCAGCCAGCAGCAGAACCACAGUGGGACCUGCAGCGAUACAAGGGCUGGCACUUUGGAUUGCAACAUGACUGAAAGGAAAAGCGUGAAGGCUACAGGAAUUUCUGCUCUAUGGAAAAAUGUUAUUUUUGGAGUCUUCGGGAAGGCGUGCAUAUAAACCCCCGGUUCCCUGGUAUCUGCUCCAGUCAGUGCUCCAUCCUCUUGUUCUCAUCCCACAUUGUGCCUGGAUAGCCUGACGGGCCAUAGGAAGCCUUCUGCUGUUUCCAGACAUCGGGACAGUUUUGCAUCCCUGUGCCAGGUCUGUGCCCAUGUACUGGCAGCUGGGGUGGCUGCCCAGCAGGGAGACAUCCUGCUGGCACCCAGGCUGCCUUAGGGAAGAAGCUGCUGCUUCUGAUCAUCUCUGAGAUGUUGGAGCCAGCAGUUUCCUGGACAGAGAUGUCUUCUCAGCACUGUUCAAGGAGUCUCAGAGGCUGCACCAUCCUUGCACUGGCUGAACAUGACUUCUCCUCCCCAUCCACUUCAUCUUGCACCAGUACCUGCUUGUGAGAACCCUGGGAGCCAGCCAUGGUGCUCACAUUGGAUCAUAAUGGGCCACAAGGAGCUGGAAUGGGUGGCACUGGAGGGGGAAAUCAGGGCUUCUCCAUCACAUACCUGUGCCCGCAGAGAUGGUCGGCAUUCCAUGAAAGCUCCAUUGUUCUUCAUGCCAUGCUACACGCACUAUGAUUAUAUAGUGUUGGAUAAGCAGUAAGACGUUGAAAUAAUAACCUAUCCUUAGUUUAAACAGUGCUAUAUUUAUGUGUAUUUAAAUGUGGGUAAUUGCACAUUUGUGACAUACUGUAAUUUGGCUGGGAGUCUGUAAAUAUGAUAUUGGAAAGAAAAGCGUCAGCUGCAUUUAAGGGGUAAAUGCUGGGGUCAUGCAGGGCAUAUUGAUCAAUGUGGAUAUUAAACAAGCUUUGGAACUUCUCUGGAGCAGCCUAGGGAUGGGCAGGGAUCCUGCCUGGGUCCAAGAUCCAGGAAAUCCUAAUUCCUGCUUCCAUGUCUGAGAAUCUUUAUUUUCAGCCCUUCCAUGACUUUCAACUUAACUUGUGUUCAUUCCCUAAUGCAAAAAGAAGCUAUUAGGAUCUUCCUAACACAGUGAGACAUCAGCUGACUUUUGUAAAUAGCUCUAAAUGGUGAUAAUGGUGAUGUAGGUGCAAACUGUAGCUGCUCUGCAGGUCAGUGAGAGCACAGGGCCAUGACGAACAUCAUUUCCACCCAAAGUGAGCCAGUGCCCAAAUAACAUCACCUGGUUUUACUGCAGAAAGGGCAAGGGAAAAGGAGCUUUGGUCAGUUAAGGGCAGAAGUAACCCUGAAGUCAAAGACCUAUGGAUGUGUUACCUUCAUGUUGGUGCAAACACCACUGGGUCCCACAUACAGGUUUUAAAUGGGGUAUUUUGCCAUCCCU
Long non-coding RNA from Pezoporus occidentalis (night parrot), 2234 nucleotides. RefSeq lists it as uncharacterized. Lineage: Eukaryota; Metazoa; Chordata; Aves; Psittaciformes; Psittacidae. The record is from RefSeq and is a predicted model, not a curated record. The transcript is spliced from 9 exons.